UACAGAGGUCUCAAGCGUUGUUCGGAUUCAUUGGGCGUAAAGGGUGCGUAGGUGGCGCCGUAAGUCGGGUGUGAAAUUUCGGAGCUUAACUCCGAAACUGCAUUCGAUACUGCGGUGCUUGAGGACUGGAGAGGAGACUGGAAUUCAUGGUGUAGCAGUGAAAUGCGUAGAUAUCUGGAGGAGCACCGGUGGCGAAGGCGGCAUCCUGGACCGACACUGACGCUGAGGAGCGAAAGCCAGGGGAGCAAACGGG
This 253-nucleotide ribosomal RNA is filed under the name uncultured bacterium. RNAcentral's name for it is "partial 16S ribosomal RNA". It matches the Rfam family "Bacterial small subunit ribosomal RNA", at positions 524 to 776 of the family's 1533-position model. The record is from RNAcentral.